RNAcentral lists this ribosomal RNA (279 nucleotides) under uncultured bacterium. RNAcentral describes it as "partial 16S ribosomal RNA". It matches the Rfam family "Bacterial small subunit ribosomal RNA", at positions 506 to 784 of the family's 1533-position model. The record is from RNAcentral.
UGCCAGCAGCCGCGGUAAUACGAAGGGGGCGAGCGUUGUUCGGAAUUACUGGGCUUAAAGAGUUCGUAGGUGGUUGAAAAAGUUAGUGGUGAAAUCCCAGAGCUUAACUCUGGAACUGCCAUUAAAACUUUUCAGCUAGAGUAUGAUAGAGGAAAGCAGAAUUUCUAGUGUAGAGGUGAAAUUCGUAGAUAUUAGAAAGAAUACCAAUUGCGAAGGCAGCUUUCUGGAUCAUUACUGACACUGAGGAACGAAAGCUAGGGUAGCAAAAGGGAUUAGAUA